CCUACGGGGGGCUGCAGUCGAGAAUCUUCGGCAAUGGGCGCAAGCCUGACCGAGCGACGCCGCGUGCGGGAUGAAGGCCUUCGGGUUGUAAACCGCUGUCGAGGGGGAUGAAGUGCAGGUGGGUUCUCCCAUCUGUUUGACAGAUCCCUGGAGGAAGCAUGGGCUAAGUUCGUGCCAGCAGCCGCGGUAAGAGGAACCAUGCAAACGUUAUUCGGAUUCACUGGGCUAGACGCGCGUGUAGGCGGUGUGUGAAAGCCCUCAGCCCAACUGAGGAAUUGCGCUUGAUACUGCAUGACUAGAGAAUGAUAGAGGUGGGUGGAACUGAUGGUGGAGCGGUGAAAUGCGUUGAUAUCAUCAGGAACACCAGUGGCGAAGGCGACCCACUGGGUCAUUUCUGACGCUGAGGUACGAAAGCUAGGGUAGCGAACGGGAUUAGAUACCCCUGUAGUC
Molecule: ribosomal RNA, 450 nt
Filed under: uncultured bacterium
Lineage: Bacteria
Description: partial 16S ribosomal RNA
Rfam family: Bacterial small subunit ribosomal RNA
Source: RNAcentral